Molecule: ribosomal RNA, 468 nt
Filed under: uncultured bacterium
Lineage: Bacteria
Description: partial 16S ribosomal RNA
Rfam family: Bacterial small subunit ribosomal RNA
Source: RNAcentral
GAGGAAAGAGGGAGGAGGGUUGAACACAUGCAAGUCGAACGGAAAGGCCCUGCUUUUGUGGGGUGCUCGAGUGGCGAACGGGUGAGUAACACGUGAGUAACCUGCCCUUGACUUUGGGAUAACUUCAGGAAACUGGGGCUAAUACCGGAUAGGAGCUCCUGCUGCAUGGUGGGGGUUGGAAAGUUUCGGCGGUUGGGGAUGGACUCGCGGCUUAUCAGCUUGUUGGUGGGGUAGUGGCUUACCAAGGCUUUGACGGGUAGCCGGCCUGAGAGGGUGACCGGCCACAUUGGGACUGAGAUAAGGCCCAGACUCCUACGGGAGGCAGCAGUGGGGAAUAUUGCACAAUGGGCGGAAGCCUGAUGCAGCAACGCCGCGUGCGGGAUGACGGCCUUCGGGUUGUAAACCGCUUUCGCCUGUGACGAAGCGUGAGUGACGGUAAUGGGUAAAGAAGCACCGGCUAACUACGUG